RNAcentral lists this ribosomal RNA (214 nucleotides) under uncultured bacterium. RNAcentral's name for it is "partial 16S ribosomal RNA". It matches the Rfam family "Bacterial small subunit ribosomal RNA", at positions 524 to 738 of the family's 1533-position model. The record is from RNAcentral.
UACGAAGGGGCUAGCGUUGUUCGGAAUUACUGGGCGUAAAGCGCACGUAGGCGGAUUGUUAAGUCGGGGGUGAAAUCCUGAGGCUCAACCUCAGAACUGCCUUCGAUACUGGCAAUCUCGAGUCCGGAAGAGGUUGGUGGAACAGCUAGUGUAGAGGUGAAAUUCGUAGAUAUUAGCUAGAACACCAGUGGCGAAGGCGGCCAACUGGUCCGGU